ACCUGUCAGAACCUUUCACAGAAUCUCAUCUCUUCAUCCUUCCACCCAAACAACAUCAUCUCUGUCCAAAGUAACAGGAAACACGUGAGACCAGAGUCCAGGGUCUCACUGAACCCUCAGGACCCCAGAGAAGAAGCUCACUGCUCUCCUGGGAGAUUCAAACUAAUGUCCCAGAAACAGAGAGAUGUUUGUUCCAGAGCUUCAGACUCUUCAGUUCAGUGUGAACCUGAACCAGGUGUGACCGGUUCCACAGAGCAGAAGAGCAGUUCUGGGUCUGGAUCAAACUGAACCAGGUUCUGAUCCAGAGUGAAAAGACGUUGUUGGAUUGUUGGACUUUUGGACCAAUCACAGGAAGUAGAGACAGAAUUAAACAGUAGAAGAAGAGAAGGACGAAGAGGAAGAAGAAGAAGAAGAAGAAGAAGAAGAAGAAGAAGAAGAAGAAGAAGAAGAAGAAGAAGAAGAAGAAGAAGAAGAAGAAGAAGAAGAAGAAGAAGAAAAAAUGAAGAAGAAGAAGAAGAAGAAGAAGAAGCUGCAGUCUUCACUGCCGACGAUAAUGGUGCAUUUGAACUGGUGUGGAGUACGGUAGUACUGUGGAGUACUGUGGAGUACUGUGGAGUACUGUAGUACUGUGGAGUACCGUGGAGUACUGUGGAGUACUGUGGAGUACUGUGGAGUACUGUAGUACUGUGGAGUACCAUGGAGUACUGUAGUACUGUGGAGUACCGUGGAGUACUGUGGAGUACUGUGGAGUACUGUGGAGUACUGUAGUACUGUGGAGUACCGUGGAGUACUGUGGAGUACUGUGGAGUACUGUAGUACUGUGGAGUACCGUGGAGUACUGUGGAGUACCGUGGAGUACUGUGGAGUACUGUGGAGUACUGCUAGUGAUACCAUCAAGAUGUUACCAUGAUGCAAACAGAUGAAGCUGAGAGCUGCAGGUGGCAGUGGAGUGCACGUGAUGCUCUGGUUGUUGCAGGAGAAACAUGAUGUCAUGAAGAACCAGGACAACCAGUGAAGAUCUCAUCACGUGAACUUGUGAAGACAUGUUGUCGCCCUGACGUGAAAACUGACGAGAAGGUUCAACACAUUGUGGAUCCUUCAGUAACUGGGUCCACAUACAUCAGCACAUGAUGUGCUCUGUAUCCACAGGUGGAACUGAAUCCAGACCAUCGGACUCCACAUCCUCCUGGAUUCUCCUCCUCCUCUUCCUG
This is a long non-coding RNA of Platichthys flesus (European flounder), 1211 nucleotides long. RefSeq lists it as uncharacterized. The transcript has 3 exons. The record is from RefSeq and is a predicted model, not a curated record. NCBI's taxonomy places the organism in Eukaryota, Metazoa, Chordata, Actinopteri, Pleuronectiformes, Pleuronectidae.